GACGAACGCUGGCGGCGUGCUUAACACAUGCAAGUCGAACGGAGAGGCCCUUCUUUUGUUGGUUGCUCGAGUGGCGAACGGGUGAGUAACACGUGAGUAACCUGCCCUUGACUUUGGUAUAACUUCAGGAAACUGAGGCUAAUACCGUAUAGGAUCUCCUGCUUCUUGGUGGGGGUUGGAAUGUUUCGGCGGUUGGGUAUGGACUCGCGGCUUUUCAGCGUGUUGGUGGGGUAGUGGCUUACCAAGGCUUUGACGGGUAGACGGCCUGAGAGGGUGAGAGGCAACAUUGGGACUGAGAUACGGCCCAGACGCCUACGGGAGGGAGCAGUGGGGAAUAUUGCAAAAUGGGCGGAAGGCGGAAGCAGCGACGCCGAGUGCGGGAUGAAGGCCUUCGGGUUGUAAAGCGCUUUCGCCUGGGACGAAGCGUGAGUGACGGUAAUGGGUAAAGAAGCACCGGCUAACUACGUG
Molecule: ribosomal RNA, 468 nt
Filed under: uncultured bacterium
Lineage: Bacteria
Description: partial 16S ribosomal RNA
Rfam family: Bacterial small subunit ribosomal RNA
Source: RNAcentral